This 497-nucleotide ribosomal RNA is filed under the name Farysia acheniorum. RNAcentral describes it as "partial large subunit ribosomal RNA". It matches the Rfam family "Eukaryotic large subunit ribosomal RNA", at positions 115 to 613 of the family's 3401-position model. The record is from RNAcentral. Lineage: Eukaryota; Fungi; Basidiomycota; Ustilaginomycetes; Ustilaginales; Ustilaginaceae.
UUGAAAGCUGGCGCCUUCGGCGUCCGCAUUGUAAUCUCAAGAAGCAUUUUCCGCUUCGGACCAAGCCUAAGUCCCUUGGAAAAGGGCAUCGUAGAGGGUGAGAAUCCCGUACAUGGCUUGGAGCGCCCGAGGCUUUGUGAUAUGCAUUCUAAGAGUCGAGUUGUUUGGGAAUGCAGCUCAAAAUGGGUGGUAAAUGCCAUCUAAGGCUAAAUAUUGGGGAGAGACCGAUAGCGAACAAGUACCGUGAGGGAAAGAUGAAAAGAACUUUGAAAAGAGAGUUAAACAGUACGUGAAAUUGCCAAAAGGGAAGGGUAGGAGGUCAGAGAUGCGGCGUGGGAUUCAGCCUUGCUUUUGCUUGGUGUUUUUCCCUCAUUGCAGGCCAACGUCGGUUUUGGACACUGGAGAAUGGUGAGGGGAAUGUGGCACUCUUCGGGGUGUGUUAUAGCCUCUUACUGGAUACAGCGGCCGGGACCGAGGAACGCAGCGUACUCGAAAGA